This 271-nucleotide ribosomal RNA is filed under the name uncultured bacterium. RNAcentral describes it as "partial 16S ribosomal RNA". It matches the Rfam family "Bacterial small subunit ribosomal RNA", at positions 524 to 794 of the family's 1533-position model. The record is from RNAcentral.
UACGGAGGGUGCAAGCGUUGUUCGGAAUCACUGGGCGUAAAGGGCGCGUAGGCGGUCUGGGAAGUCCGAUGUGAAAGCCCUGGGCUCAACCUGGGAACUGCAUUCGAUACUGUCGAGCUAGAGUGUGGGAGAGGGUGGUGGAAUUCCCGGUGUAGCGGUGAAAUGCGUAGAUAUCGGGAGGAACAUCAGUGGCGAAGGCGACCGCCUGGCCCAACACUGACGCUGAGGUGCGAAAGCGUGGGUAGCAAACAGGAUUAGAAACCCCGGUAGU